Molecule: unclassified non-coding RNA, 516 nt
Filed under: Hevea brasiliensis (rubber tree)
Lineage: Eukaryota; Viridiplantae; Streptophyta; Magnoliopsida; Malpighiales; Euphorbiaceae
Source: RNAcentral
GAUGUCACUGUAAUAUGCUGAACAAAAAGUAAAAUGGAAAAGUCGUCAGAAAACUCAAUAACUGAUUCUUAAUGAAUGUUUCUCCCUAUAAUAUAUAUUUUGGCGCUGGAGACAAUAAAACCUUAAGACACAGUAAACAUGGCCUCAUUAUAUGCGACAUAUACCAUGUUUAUCUAUAAGGCAUUCCAUGUCCGCACAAUAUGGAGGCAUCACAUAUUAUAAGCACCACAAUUCAAUUCUGUGCACCGAUCCACUGUAAUAUCUAAAGGGGAUAUUAAAGAUAUGUUCUACAAACUUUAGAGCAUAAUUUGGAAGUGCUCAAAGCCUCAAACUGCAUCUUAACAGAUAUUGCGUGUAAAACAUUACUAACAUAAGAUUUUAGUACCAUGCCGAAAUGGAAAAAGAGUACACUGUCAAACAACAAUGUACAAAGGAAACAAGCACGGAGUACUCAAUUGUGAACACCAAAUGUUUAGAAAAUGAAUUUACCAAGAAUAAGGAACUUGAGAUGAUGAG